RNAcentral lists this transfer RNA (78 nucleotides) under Deltaproteobacteria bacterium. Its description in RNAcentral is "tRNA-His". It matches the Rfam family "tRNA". From Rfam's summary of the family: Transfer RNA (tRNA) molecules are approximately 80 nucleotides in length. Lineage: Bacteria; Pseudomonadati; Myxococcota; Myxococcia. The record is from RNAcentral.
GUGGGUAUAGCUCAGUUUGGUCAGAGCGCCAGGUUGUGGCCCUGGAGGCCGUGGGUUCAAGUCCCAUUACCCACCCCA